AUGGGUAUUAAGUAUGGGGUCACAAUAACAGAUCAUAUACCUUUGGCCCUCACAAUUAACAUUGAAGAAUUACCAUCUACAGUCACCAACAACAAUGCUAUCAGUGGUAAUGUGAGUACUAAAUUAGACUGGUCAACUCUUUCUGAAGAGGAUCUUUUGGCUUAUUAUACUAAUACAGACCAUUAUCUAAGUAAUGUUUAUCUGCCCAGAGAAGCUAUUAUGUGUAAGGAUGUCAACUGUCAGAUUGAGGAGCACAAGAGUAAUCUAUGUGUCAUGUAUGAUGAUGUUGUGGCUGCUCUGUUGGAGGGUGGUAAACCUCUUCAAAAACACAGGAGAAACAGGGCCUAUAAUAUUAGACCAGGAUGGAAUGAGCAUGUAGCACCAUAUCACACUGAAGCUCGGGAAGCUUACAAGCUUUGGGCCCUGGCUGGGAGACCUAGGCAGGGCCCUGAGCUUGAGAAUAAAAAGCUUGCCAAUGCCAGAUAUAAGUAUGCUGUUCGUUUUAUAUCUAGAAAUGAGCAAGCCAUGAGGGCUGACUCUAUGGCCAGUAAAAUGAUGAGCAACAAUAUUACUGACUUUUGGAAGGAGGUGAGGUCCCUCAAUAACUGUAAAUCUUCCCUUCCUUGUACUGUUGAAGGAGUCUCCGGAGAAGAUAAUGUUGUUGAAAUAUGGAGACAGCACUAUAGCUCCCUCUUUAAUUGUUUAAAACAUGAUCCACAUGUGGAGGACUCUGCUAUCAGUAAUGAAUCAAUAAGUAUUCUGACACAUGAGGUAUUUGGUGCCAUAUGGAAAUUACCUAACAAUAAAGCAUGUGGUAUGGAUUCAAUAACUGCAGAGCAUCUGAAAAAUGCCAGUCUUAGGCUUGCUUCCCUCUUAGCAAUCAACUUUACUGGUUUGUUGAUCCAUGGCAUACUUCCAGAUUCAAUGUUAUCUAUUCUGCUUGUCCCAGUUAUUAAGGACAAAGCUGGAAAAGUUGGCUGCCUGGAUAAUUAUAGACCUAUAGCAUUGGCCAGUAUUUUAUCCAAGGUAAUGGAAAGAGCAGGAGCUUCUUAA
This is a long non-coding RNA of Cyprinus carpio (common carp), 1053 nucleotides long. The record is from Ensembl. Lineage: Eukaryota; Metazoa; Chordata; Actinopteri; Cypriniformes; Cyprinidae.